UACGUAGGGUGCGAGCGUUAAUCGGAAUUACUGGGCGUAAAGCGUGCGCAGGCGGUUCGGUGUGUCUGAUGUGAAAGCCCCGGGCUCAACCUGGGAAUGGCAUUGGAAACUGGCGAGCUAGAGUGUGGCAGAGGGGGGUGGAAUUCCGCGUGUAGCAGUGAAAUGCGUAGAGAUGCGGAGGAACACCGAUGGCGAAGGCAGCCCCCUGGGCUGACACUGACGCUCAGGCACGAAAGCGUGGGGAGCAAACAGG
This 253-nucleotide ribosomal RNA is filed under the name uncultured bacterium. RNAcentral's name for it is "partial 16S ribosomal RNA". It matches the Rfam family "Bacterial small subunit ribosomal RNA", at positions 524 to 776 of the family's 1533-position model. The record is from RNAcentral.